RNAcentral lists this long non-coding RNA (5024 nucleotides) under Xyrichtys novacula (pearly razorfish). Lineage: Eukaryota; Metazoa; Chordata; Actinopteri; Labriformes; Labridae. The record is from RNAcentral.
CUUCAGUGGAGUGGGUGUGACUGGAGUGUGCUCCAGACUGAUUAAUUAAAGACGGGUAAGAGGGCAGUUUUUGUGGAGUCAAGGGACAUGUGGGGAGUAACAGAGGAGUUUGUGGAGACUUAGACCAACUGUCCUGAUCCCUGAGCCAGAUGGUAGCAAUAAGUUCUGCAGUCCUUUCAUAAAACUAAAGGAAAUCUCUAAAUAUGAUGCUUACCCUUUCGCCUAUUGACAAGCUAGUUAUUCAGAUAUUUUUACUCUGGCCUUGCAAGACCCUGAAUUUGCUGCACUGACGCAGGGACACCGGGCUGACCUCAGUGACAUCUUUGUUCUUCAGUUUUCUCCAGUCAGCCACUGUCUGAGGAGUCAUCAGCCUCUGCUGUAAUGACCCUGACACCUGUGUCAGUGCAGGUUAAAAAUACCUCAAACAUGAAUACUUCAUUAUAAAACAGGGCUCAUUAAGAAGCUGUCUCAUUGACUCAAACCUUCAGCUGACAGUUUAAUAUCAGCUCCUGAGAGAUGGAGUUUAAAAAGCAGCAGACGUGAUGACAGCAGACAUCACUCUUAUCUCCAGUCUUUUCCUGUCAGUUGGUUGGUCAGGGAUGUUUUAAAGCAGAGCUGUUCAUUUUCUCCGAGUAGCACCAACUGUGAGUGAGUGAGUGAGUGAAUGAAUAAUCAGGCAAUUUGUGCUUUUCUAAAAGGGAAAUGAGCUUGACUGGACAACCUACCUGAGUUACACAAUUAGACACACACACACACACGAUAACAACAACAAAACAAGAAGAGAUGCAGCAGCUGUCAAUCAAAGCAAGCCACUUCUUUCAAGUCUUGUCACCACGGCAACAGGGGAACUUCUUUGCCCUGCAGCACUAAGGACCCACAUACAUGCAGCUUUAGCGUAUGUGUAUGUGGAUUCCCCGCUUUUAUUUUGCAGCAUUGCAGAUGUAACUAUGCGUGUGAGUGUGUGAGUGAAUGUAUGUGUAGAUAAGGAUGAGUUUUGUUGCUGAACUGCAAAUAUUAAACAUUUUAUCCCUUACUUUGGGAGUUUUUUUCUUCUUAUCCACGCAGAAGAAGCCUAGGGGACUCAGGAAGAAAGCAAAUAGCAUCAGCGCUCAUCUUUCGGUGUAGCAUUUAAAUACAAACGUGUCGGCUUUACAUUAGAGACAACCACCGCUGACAUGCUUUGAGAAUAAUGAAUGGCUGACUGCAUUGAUUUUUUUUUCCAUGCAUACAUUACCAUAAUACUUGCCCGUGGGAUGUACGUGAGGAAUGUGUAAAUAUAUGUCGUUUCAAGCAAGCGCCUGUACCUGGGCUGAAGAGCUAGAAUGAAAGGUUCAUCUUACAAGAAGAGUAGACCAAGCCUCCUCUGGGGACGUCUCUCUUGUUCCUCGGCUAACGUAACCAGGCUAAAGAUUGAGGCACAAAUCAAUACCUGCCUCAUCACCACAGCAAGACCUGCGAUCUCCGAUGCAACGCGCUGCUCAGAGGCUGGUUAAUCACUGGGUCCUGUGGGGACAGCCAGUGUCAGGAGGCGAGUGGGCGAUGGAGGUUCAUCCACAGCUUGGAGAGCAGUCCAGAGCAAUUUGACCUCUUGUGCCCUCACAAGGAAUCAAUAAGUGUGAGCUCUGUUCAUCACAAAGACACAAACAAGAGACCCUCAGAGCCACAGGAAUGCAUUAUCAUCUCACUACUUGCAUCCAGACUGAAGCACUUUUUUGGAGAAUUUGGUCUGAUGAACUAGGGAAGGAAUCACUGAGGAGUAAUGGUUGAAAAUGAGAAAGAAACAGAGUCUCAUUUGUAUUCAGUGGCACACCCCUGAGCUUCAGAGGCUAUGCUGCCUCUCAUGUCGGUACUUCCUCUUGUUCAAAUGUUACCUGCAUGUUAAUAUAAUGAGACUGGGGCACAUAGCAGAAAUCAAUUUCAUAUUAUCAAUGGGAAUAGUUUUGCAAUGUUAAUCAUCCAAAAGUCUCAAAAUGGAAAGGUUAUGCAAAUUUCACCUCACUAAAGAUAGACAGCGAGAUCACAUGUAAUAUCUACACAGCUGUUCUUUCAUGUUGUCCACAAAAGCAGAAGAUGUUAAUCAAGGCAAGCUGCACAAGAGAGACCAUCCCCUAUACAGAGAAACAAAUGCCUGAAAAACAACUUAUGCGAUACCCUCAGAUCCAACAGGAUGUUUUGUGCGUAUCUGUAUGAAAUAAAAAUUGGAUGCAUUCUUAUGGUGCGUUCCAUUUACCUUGGAAAUCAGAGUUGGGAGUGACGUCACACUCGAGUUCUUAUCGUUUCAGUUACAAAGUCAGAAAAAAGUAGGGUUCGUGUUUUCUACCGCCAAAACAACAACAACAACAACAACCUCUCAAUUAUCUUUAGAGGAUUGGGUUGCCUAUUGCCAAAGGCCAUUGGCACAAACCAUCACCAAUACUAGGUUAACGUAUGCCAAUUAAGGCUCAUUAACUGAUUUGUGUAUCCAUAAUCCAGAGGUCAUUCACUGCAUCAUAGACUACUAUUUACAACCCUUCUCCACAUAGACAGGUAACUGAAAAAAACCUAAAUAAGAAAACACCGGCUGAAGCUGCCAGGCUACGAUUGGCCGUUGUUAGCACGGCCUGCUUCGUAGUUUGCAUACACACAUGAAAAACAUAAAUUACACAAUGACAGCAUUUCCAUAUAUAUAUAUACAUCUAACAAUACUAUUUUAUAUGGCUGACAUAUAGUGACAACAAAUAGUAAAAAGUGUUAAUAAAAGAAUUAUUACAGAAGCCUCUACUUAUUGUUUACAACCGGCAGCCAUCAUCUUUAAAUGUCAGCUUUGGGGGGUUGGAGCGUCUGACUUUCCAAGUCGGAAAUCUGACCUUGGGAGUCGUUCCAGUUGAAAGUUCUGACUCAGAGCUUGGAAAUCCCGACUUUAAACUGGAAUGCAACAUUAAAACGCCAACGAAAGCUUGGUCAGAGUUUCACUGUAACAUCAUAAUAAACUCAGUUACAUCUUUAUGAGGCUUUCUUUUCUGGAGCUCAAAUUUGGAGUGGAGCCGAUUUGGAGACAAGUUGAGGCAAAGAUGCAUCACAGACAGUGUUUUAUCUUUAUUAAAAUCGUAUUUAUCUCAUUAGGAUAAAUGAUCACACAGUCAAGAAAGAGAGUGGCUGAAAAUAUCUGACUGUUCUGUGUGAUUUAACCAACAUGUAAACAUUCAUUUAGCUCACAAAUCUCAGGUUAGUGUUGGAGUGGGAUUCCAGGCAAAGUGAUUAAUACAAGUCCAUACCACUAAAUGAGAAAAAUGAAGUGCCUGACAGCUUACUUUGUGCAUGUUUAUCGCUGCAUAUCCAGAUUCAGUCCAUCUGUUUCAGCAUCAAAUAGACUCUCCCUCUUCUCUGAUGCACUGCUUCACAUUCACAAACCCCCCUGAACAUUUCCUCCUCUUUCUGACAGCCAUAAAUGAAAUCCUGGACUCUCAAACCUGUUAACAUGAGUAAUGGCUUCUCUCUCUGCUCCAUUUAUCUAUUUACUCCCUUUUCCAUCCUUAUCUAUUUAUUUCUUUUUGGUCCCUUUCUGCUCUUUUACCGCCGUGCUCCCCCCCCUCUUGACACAUUGUGCUCGAUAAGCAUUUUUCCUCCGCUGACAAAUCGUUUGUCUGCAGCUACCUCUUCUGUGAAAUUGUACUUGUCAAAUGCAGGCGUGCAUUUUUGCAAAAUAUGAUCGCAGAAAUUCAAACGUAUUUCAGUAUCUGAACCCCCCCCCCUUCCUACUCUCUCCUUUGUUUCCCACUUUUCUGUUCUUCACUUUGCAGCCUUGAGAAAAAAGGGAGAACUUUUUCUCAGACGCUAUUUGAAAUCCAUCUUCAGCCGCUGAGGAGUCUUUUACUUUUUAAUCACACUCUUUCAAAGGACUUUUAAUCAAACUCCUUCCCCUGUGCGCUGCUCUCUGUCUGUGUGUGUAAGUGUGUGUGUGUGGUGUGACGUUGAUGUGGACAGUGAGUGAAAGCCAAGAGAAUAAAAAGAGACCCCAUCAUUACACGCAGCUGUCCUGUCGUUCCAUUAAGCAGAACAAAAUGACCCUUAUCACCCUGUCUUCCCCGUGGAGACAUAAUUGGGUUUUCAGGGGAAAAUUUCUUAGGACCUAAAUUGCAUUUGUUCUGUCUCCUCCCCUCUGCUGCCCCAAUCAGCCUGCCCCUGUAGGGAGAAGUCUGCCAGGGCUCCACAGGAAAUAAUAAUCCCCGUUGUCACACACUAAUGGUCAUUGCUGCAUAACUGCAUCACUGUAUGGAGAAUAAUAACAUUAAUUCAGUGGAGAUGGGUGUCAACGACUUAUAUAUGAGGCCAAUUUCUGUCUUUGCAAGUGGGAUGAGGCUGUGAAAUUAUUAAAAAGCACUUGAUUGGUCAUUUGGAUUGUCCUCGGCUAAUACUUGACACAUAGGUAUUGUUAAUGGCUUCAAUUAAAAAAGUUUAAAUGAAUUUAUUCACCCGACAGGGGGACCAUUGUUAAAAGUCUGGAUUUUACUGCUGAAGGGCCUUUGGAAAAAUAAGCAAUGGGACAAUAUUCGGGCCAGUUUAUCUCCAUAUAAAUAUAAUGUAUAUUCUUGGUCAGUUUAAAUCACGAAAACGACAUGUUAUAGAUGUCUGAUUCAAGCUUAUUCAGCAAAGCCCACCAGCAAGAAAAUCGAAGCUCCUGAUCUGAUUUGGAGAUAUUUCUCAUUGAAGAUUGUCUGUAGUGGAAUAUGUACAUAGACUGUAUAUACUAUACCUGGCUCCACCUUCUGUCGUUAUACAAAUUUGAAGCCAAGUUGCUCUCGGUAUUUCUGGGAUUUUCUCGCGAUUCACUCGCGCAGUAGCACUGAACGCACUCCACCAUUUGCGCACAAGCGUUGUAUGCAUUCAGCGGGAGAGUUGCUGUCAUAGACAUUAUACAUGUAGACACCUCAUUACGUGCUGGAGCGUAAUCCAGCAUCACCGCCAUAUUGGAUGGGUAUCCCCACUCCAGGCUCGCUCAAGCACAAAACGGGGUCAGUGGAGAACGAGCAACUAUGCCCAUAUUU